RNAcentral lists this ribosomal RNA (857 nucleotides) under human gut metagenome. Its description in RNAcentral is "bacterial SSU rRNA". It matches the Rfam family "Bacterial small subunit ribosomal RNA", at positions 29 to 906 of the family's 1533-position model. The record is from RNAcentral.
AUGAACGCUGGCGGCGUGCUUAACACAUGCAAGUCGAACGAUUAACCCGCCCUCGGGCGGUUAUAGAGUGGCGAACGGGUGAGUAACACGUGACCAACCUGCCCCUUGCUCCGGGAUAACCCAGGGAAACCUCGGCUAAUACCGGAUACUCCGCGCAGCCCGCAUGGGGGGCGCGGGAAAGCCCAGACGGCAAGGGAUGGGGUCGCGGCCCAUUAGGUAGACGGCGGGGUAACGGCCCACCGUGCCCGCGAUGGGUAGCCGGGUUGAGAGACCGAUCGGCCACAUUGGGACUGAGAUACGGCCCAGACUCCUACGGGAGGCAGCAGUGGGGAAUUUUGCGCAAUGGGGGAAACCCUGACGCAGCAACGCCGCGUGCGGGACGAAGGCCUUCGGGUUGUAAACCGCUUUCAGCAGGGAAUAUAGUGAAGGUACCUGCAGAAGAAGCUCCGGCUAACUACGUGCCAGCAGCCGCGGUAAUACGUAGGGAGCGAGCGUUAUCCGGAUUCAUUGGGCGUAAAGCGCGCGUAGGCGGCCCGUCAAGCGGGGUUUCAAAUCCAGGGGCUCAACCUCUGGCCGGACCCCGAACUGGCGGGCUCGAGUGCGGUAGAGGAAGGUGGAAUUCCCAGUGUAGCGGUGAAAUGCGCAGAUAUUGGGAAGAACACCGAUGGCGAAGGCAGCCUUCUGGGCCGCCACUGACGCUGAGGCGCGAAAGCUAGGGGAGCGAACAGGAUUAGAUACCCUGGUAGUCCUAGCCGUAAACGAUGGGCACUAGGUGUGGGGGAGCAUCUCCUCCGUGCCGCAGCCAACGCAUUAAGUGCCCCGCCUGGGGAGUACGGCCGCAAGGCUAAAACUCAAAG